CAUAUAUAUAAAGCUCCUCCUGGAAAUAUCAGGAGUCUUUCAGGAGAUUUCUGCAAGUUUGAAAGCUCUUUAUGUCGACUUUUAACAGUCAUGGACGUGAUCUCAGUGACGUCAUCCAUUGGAUUCAAAACGAUGGCAAUGGCCAUAUUGGAAAUGCUGUCUAAGCUAUCUUUUGGCCGGGGCUGACGGGCACCUUUACUCUCCUGACAAACGACCACAGCGUGCCAACCUGUAAGUCAACUUAGCCACACCCCUAAUUUGAAUAACUCUUAUCCUUAAUAUAUCCAAAGUAAAUGCAAAUCUCCCCAAGUGCUUAACAUGACAUGUUUAUUUUCUGCUGUAAAAGGGGUGUUUUUACAUGAGGGGGGUUUAAUAAUACUGUGAAAAAUCAUGGAUGAAGCACCACACUUUAUUUCUGAACGGGUCUUUGGAAUCUGAUUGAUGGCGGUCGCCACGCUGGAAAUGCUGUCUCAACCUAACGACAGGCUAAGAGCUGAGGCGGGUUUUAAGCCUGCCGACGAACAGCUGCAACGCCCCCCCGUCUGUCAAUCAGUUACAUGUAGUCUUACACUGACCUGAACCACUGCAUGAUGUCAACUGUCAGGUCCUUCAAAGAAAAAAGCUCAUCUCUAAGGCACAAGAGAAACCUUUCAUCUGAUCGACACAUGGAUUUCAGGAUGGAGAGGGAGGAGGAGGACAGCAUCGGGGCAGAUGAUUGGACCCAGGCAUCAAACAGAGGAAAGGGGCCAGGUCGAGUCUCCCUACAUCCCAGAAGUUUGCUGGAGUUGGGAUCUAAACAUCAUUGAGUGACGGCACAUUCAUCAUCAUGUAUCUUUAAUCAUGAAACAUUUAAAAUAAUGAAUGAUUUUUUUAAAAUCUUUCUGUUCAAGCUGUUUAUACCAGAUGACACGCUGGCUGGCUUCUACCUUUAACAUCAGAUGCAACAACUGUUUUGUUGUUGUUGUGUUUUGAUUAAUGUGAAAGAAAAGCAUUUAUUGGAUCUUGUUACAUUUAUGUACAAACUUUUCAGUCUGCAUUUACAAACUGUCUGUCUUGGGUGAACCUCACUGCAUUUGUGUUUGGGAAUUUUGAGACUCCCCUGUCGUGAUUCAAAUUCACAAAUACAUUUUUUUCAGCAGAGAAAUGUCUGCAGCCAAUCAGAUGUCUCCUUCCUAUUAGUGCUGGGCGAUAUAUCAUGAAGCUCGAUUCGAUCGAUAUUUAAUUAAUGCUUGAUAUGGAAAAGGGAACAUCGAUUUUAUUUUUAAACUACUUCCAAGUUUUCUUUCUUGCUUCUUUUGUCGAAGAUUUCGUUGCUCCGUGAGAUUUCCGCAGCAGCGCUUGUUGCGCGGAGACGAAAGGGCGGAGGAGACUUCACUCCUGCCGCUGAGUAGCCCAGCUCUUAAAAGCGACCAACACGGAGGAGAAAGAUGCGAGCGAGGUCGAAUUACUUCCAAAAAAAGGCUCAUAACGCAGGGCUCGACAUUAUAAUUGACAGAGUCCAGCUGAUUGCACGUUCAGCUGGCGGCUUCACUGCGUUUGGUAAAACGGUUUUAAAACCAUCAGAUCCCGACAAAAGCCGAGCUUAAAUCAGCAUUCAAGGAAUAGAAAUCACCGGAAAAGUCGAGAGUGACAGCAGGGCGAAAACAGAACGGAGAAAAGUUAGAUCCACAGUGACAGACAGCUGGAGGAGCUGGAACACGUUAAAGUUGAAGACUAGAUCCUGGUAAAGAUCAAAGUUAUUCACAAAGCACCUUAGCCCUGAAGAGAGCUCCUAAAGAUCUAAAGAUGAAGAGUUUCUCACAGAGAAGAAAGAAGGAGAGAUUCCAGAUCUAUCACAGCCUCAUAUUAAUAUCAGAUUAAGUAGACUCUUACAGCAUGGUGAAUAAACAUGAGCACAUAGAUAUAAGAAAAAUACAAGUUUAAAUAUUUAAUAAAAGUUGUUAUUGACUUUUGCAUCAGAAUGGUUCAGGAGUAAAUCGGUGACUGUUAUUUUUCUAAUCAAAGGUAAUGUUCCUGAGCCAGUGAUCACAGUGGUCAGGUCAGUGGUAUUUUCUUUUUAUACAGUGGAGAUUCAGUUUUAUAGGCUACAUUUAUAAACUUUAAUACGAUAAAUAUUGAAUAUCGACAUUAGGCAAAAAAAUAUUGUGAUAUCAAAUUUAGGCCAUAUCGCCCAGCACUACUUCCUAUUCAGCCAAUCAAGACAUACCCACCUUUAUUUCAAUAGAGGAACGAUAAACCACUUUCCAUGUUUUUUUCAAACAAUGCUAAACUUGAGAGGAUACUUUUCAAGGCGGCUUCAGGUGUAAAUGUUAAUCAAAUAUUUUGGCGAUGUAAUCUCUCCUUUUGUAUAAAGGUAUAUACACCUGUAGGAGCCAUCAUAUGUAUGUUUUAUCUCUGCUUUGCUCCUAAUAGGUCAUUUGCAGUGGGGUGGUCUUACCUUGUAAUUAUAUAAAUAAGAUGUGUGGUGAGAGAGUUUGAAUAUUUUCUGUUGACCGUCACCUCUUUUGUUUAAUAAAUCAACAAUACCAUCUGUUAAGCCAA
Molecule: non-coding RNA, 2541 nt
Organism: Labrus bergylta (ballan wrasse)
Lineage: Eukaryota; Metazoa; Chordata; Actinopteri; Labriformes; Labridae
Source: RefSeq, a predicted model, not a curated record